RNAcentral lists this ribosomal RNA (460 nucleotides) under uncultured bacterium. Its description in RNAcentral is "partial 16S ribosomal RNA". It matches the Rfam family "Bacterial small subunit ribosomal RNA", at positions 338 to 795 of the family's 1533-position model. The record is from RNAcentral.
CCUACGGGUGGCAGCAGUGAGGAAUAUUGGUCAAUGGGCUUACGCCUGAACCAGCCAAGUCGCGUGAGGGAAGACUGCCCUAUGGGUUGUAAACCUCUUUUGUCAGGGAGCAAUUUGCGCUAUGUGUAGCGUUAUCUAUAGUCCCUGAAGAUAAAGCAUCGGCUACCUCCGUGCCAGCAGCCGCGGUAAUACGGAGGAUGCGAGCGUUCUCCGGAUUUAUGGGGUUUAAGGGGUGCGUAGGCGGCAUGCCAAGUCAGCGGUAAAAUCGCGGGGCCCAACCUCGCUCCGCCGUUGAAACUGGCGUUCUUGAGUGGGGGAGAGGUAGGCGGAAUGCGUGGUGUAGCGGUGAAAUGCAUAGAUAUCACGCAGAACUCCGAUUGCGAAGGCAGCAUACCGGAGCCCAACUGACGCUGAAGCACGAAAGCGUGGGUAUCGAACAGGAUUAGAUACCCCGGUAGUC